Long non-coding RNA from Thalassophryne amazonica, 255 nucleotides. RefSeq lists it as uncharacterized. The transcript has 3 exons. Lineage: Eukaryota; Metazoa; Chordata; Actinopteri; Batrachoidiformes; Batrachoididae. The record is from RefSeq and is a predicted model, not a curated record.
CAGGAAGCAGAGCGGAUUGGUCAAUGUGUCUUUUGUGGAAAAGCUGGACUCCACAGCUCAGUUUUUCACAGGUUGUGUUCACAUUCAUACGAGCCUGUCUUCUGACUGAGGAUUUCACUGACUGUCAGCACGUAAGGUCUGGGAAAGCUCUGAAACUUGUAACGCCGUGAAAAAAUAGACUUUUUAUGCAAUUAAUUGGUAAAAUAAUACAUAGAAUACUCUAUUUCAAAAUAUUCAAUAGCUGUAGUCCUAGUG